This 260-nucleotide long non-coding RNA is filed under the name Malus domestica (apple). RNAcentral describes it as "long non-coding RNA (MDOM_LNC012521)". Lineage: Eukaryota; Viridiplantae; Streptophyta; Magnoliopsida; Rosales; Rosaceae. The record is from RNAcentral.
CACCACUUCUAGAAUAUAUCACAUUUACCUGGCGUUGGUUACGAUUACCCCUUGGAGGGUGAAGGAGGAAUUGAUCAAUUUUUCCUUCACGUGCCAAAGCUUCAAUAUGAUCACGAAGGGUGAUACACUUCUCGCCGUCAUGGCCAUUAUGCUCGUGGUAGCAGCAAAACGUGCCCGUGUUCUUCGUGGGCUUGUAAUCCAGGUGCCUCGGCUUUGGCUUCGGUAUCAAGUGUGCUAUGCUGGGGUAAAUGGCCACGCAU